GACAGACAGACACACACACACAGACACAACACCCUUCUCAACACCCCAACAGAAACAUGAAAAUGUUGGCUGACAACAGAAAGUACAGAAAGUGUAUCCAGCCCUUCUUCCUCCUUGCUGCCUGUAAGGUAGCUGCCAUUUCCUCUGUGGAGUCAUGGCUAUCCUCUAACCUCUGGUACAGAACAAGAUCAUUAAAAAAAAAAACAAAAAACAAAAAACAAAACCCAAAAAACAAACAAACAAAAACCCCAAAACAAACAAACAACAAAUUAAAAAAACAGAAACAGAAAAACAAAAACCCAACCCACAAAACUUUAUGUGGCACUAGCUUGGAUGUGUCACUGGGGAUGUACUUUGAGUUUCAGCGAGCCCAAGCUGUUCCCAGUGAGGCGACUGUCUUGUGCUUACAGAUGGAGAUGUGAGCUCUCAGCCACUGCUCCGGAGCACCACACCUGCAUUUCUGCUCCCAUGCUCCCUACCAUGGUGGCCAUGGAUUCUAACCUGCAACCACGAGCUCCAAAUCCAACAUCUUGUCUUAUAAAUGCCCUGGUCACACACAGUCCUUGACUGCAGCACUGGACAGGUAACUAAGGCACUGGCCGUGAUGUCAGAGCUGACUGGGCUGCUGCAGAGCAGCAGAUCCUCCUGGCCCAUCCCCUGCUUCUUCCUAGAACUGCACUGCCCUAGGAGAAAGAGCAGUGCAGCUGGCCAUUAAUGCCACUGACCCCAACACCAGGCUGCGCCACAGUGAAAGGGAGAGACGGGGCAGGCAUGUUUUAUUCUUUUUAGUAAAACCACAAAAACUGCAAAAGGAAAAGGAGCCAGUACUAAAUUUCAGUCUCCAAGACAAGUGUUCACUAGAAAGUCCUAGCACUUCAAGAAUGCCAAGGCAGAAACGAGGUGGGCACAAGAUAAGUCUCAACUAUUCCAGAAAUGAGAAAAUGCUAGGAGAAUAAAAGGAAACAUGGUGGGGCAUGCUUCUAAUGCCAGCACUCAGGGGGCACAAGCAGGUGGAUCUCUGAGUUGAAGGGCAGCCUGGUCUACAGAUGG
Molecule: long non-coding RNA, 1050 nt
Filed under: Rattus norvegicus (Norway rat)
Lineage: Eukaryota; Metazoa; Chordata; Mammalia; Rodentia; Muridae
Description: long non-coding RNA NONRATT002995
Source: RNAcentral